GGUCGGUUAGCUCAGUUGGUUAGAGCGUGGUACUAAUAAUGCCAAGGUCAUGAGUUCGACCCUCAUACUGACCA
Molecule: transfer RNA, 74 nt
Organism: Verticillium albo-atrum
Lineage: Eukaryota; Fungi; Ascomycota; Sordariomycetes; Glomerellales; Plectosphaerellaceae
Rfam family: tRNA
About the family: Transfer RNA (tRNA) molecules are approximately 80 nucleotides in length. Their secondary structure includes four short double-helical elements and three loops (D, anti-codon, and T loops). Further hydrogen bonds mediate the characteristic L-shaped molecular structure. tRNAs have two regions of fundamental functional importance: the anti-codon, which is responsible for specific mRNA codon recognition, and the 3' end, to which the tRNAs corresponding amino acid is attached (by aminoacyl-tRNA synthetases). tRNAs cope with the degeneracy of the genetic code in two manners: having more than one tRNA (with a specific anti-codon) for a particular amino acid; and 'wobble' base-pairing, i.e. permitting non-standard base-pairing at the 3rd anti-codon position.
Source: Rfam